CUCUUUCCCAAAUCCGCCUCCGCCAACCUACCAACCAAACCCUAGCUUGCUAGAUUUCGGAAAAAAAAAAAACGAAAGUGUCCCCAACUCGAACCGCCGAGAAGCCCGCCCGCCGCCGCCGAGAGAUGGCUGCCGAGUACGACGAGCGCUACCAGGGCAACGGCGACACAGCCACGGCCGAGGGCGGCCACGCGCAGGCCGAGUACGCCGCCCCAGCCGCUGCCGUGGCGCCUGCCGCCGGGGGUUCGCCGCCCGCCGACAGUAAGCCCGCUGGGUUCUCAGACCACGCCGACGGCCGCUCGUCCCAGCCCCAGCACGAGACACAAUCACAUGACAGUGGUUCCUCCAAAUCUCGAGAAAGGGACCGCGAACGUGAUAAGAGCAAGGACAGGGAGCGUGAUAGGGACCGUGGCCGAGAAAAGGAGAGGGACCGGGAUAAGGAUCGUGAAAGAGGUGACAGGGACAGAGAGCGUGAUCGCCACCACAGGGACCGUCGUGAGCGCAGCGAGAGAAGGGAACACCGUGAUCGUUCUGAUGAUCGUGACCGUGACCGUCACCGUGAUGAUCGAGACCGUCACAGGAGCCAUGAUUCUGAGAGGAGAAGAGAUCGUGACAGAGAUGGCCAUCGUAGGCAUCGUUCCCGCUCCCCCAAGAGUCGUGACCGUGACCGUGACCGCAGAUCUAGAUCUCGCUCACGCUCUCGAUCGAAGAGCAAGCGCGUGAGUGGUUUUGACCAAGCACCUCCACAACAGGCACUUCCUAUUGUUGCUACUGGUGCUAUCCCAGGUCAGCUCGCUGGUGUCACUGCUCCUAUUCCUGGUGUGGGGGUGCUUCCAAACUUGUAUAAUUUGGCUGGAGGACAGUUCAACCCCCUUGUUAUUCAGCCACAAGCCAUGACACAACAGGCUACUCGACAUGCUCGGCGUGUCUAUGUGGGUGGACUUCCUCCAACUGCUAAUGAGCAAACCGUUGCCAUAUUCUUCAAUGGAGUUAUGGCUGCUAUUGGAGGAAACACAGCUGGUCCAGGUGAUGCUGUUCUUAAUGUCUACAUUAACCAUGACAAGAAAUUUGCUUUUGUGGAGAUGAGAUCUGUGGAGGAAGCAAGCAAUGCAAUGGCCUUAGAUGGCAUAAUGUUUGAGGGAGCACCAGUCAAAGUUAGAAGGCCAACGGACUACAAUCCUUCCCUAGCAGCUGCUCUGGGCCCAAGCCAGCCAAAUCCGAAUCUCAAUCUUGCUGCUGUUGGCUUGACACCUGGCUCUGCUGGAGGAUUAGAAGGUCCAGACCGGAUCUUUGUAGGUGGUCUACCAUAUUACUUCACUGAGGCCCAAGUGCGGGAGUUGCUGGAGUCCUUUGGACCUCUUCGUGGAUUUGAUCUUGUGAAGGAUAGAGAAACUGGUAAUUCGAAGGGAUAUGCCUUCUGUGUGUACCAGGAUCUUAAUGUUACCGACAUUGCCUGUGCUGCUCUUAAUGGCAUCAAGAUGGGAGACAAGACUCUUACUGUUAGGCGGGCAAACCAAGGAGCUUCUCAGCCUAGGCCAGAGCAAGAAAGCAUCCUGUUGCAGGCACAGCAGCAGGUGCAAAUGCAGAAACUUGUAUACCAAGUCGGAGGUGCCCUGCCAACAAAAGUUGUAUGCCUGACACAGGUAGUGAAAGCAGAUGAACUGAGAGAUGAUGAGGCAUACGAUGACAUUGUGGAGGACAUGAGGGAAGAAGGGCACAAAUAUGUCCCACAUAAUGCCAUUGCAGAGUGUUUUAUAGUCCGACCCUAUGCAAUAUUGGCAAUCGGGCCUUAACCCACAGAAGACACUAUGCUUUUGAGUUUGAUUAAUCAUUAUAUUAUUAGCCUCUUGUCUAUAUAUGUACUCACUAACACUUGGACAGGUAACUUGGUGAAAGUUGUAAUUCCACGGCCUGACCCCAGCGGUGCUCCUGUUGCUGGUGUUGGAAAGGUGUUCUUGGAAUAUGCAGAUGUGGAGGGCUCGACCAAAGCAAAGACGGGGAUGCAUGGGCGGAAAUUCGACGGAAACCAGGUGGUGGCCGUGUUCUACCCUGAGGACAAGUUUGCUGCUGAGCAGUACGACUGAAAGUUGUAGAAUUAUAGGGUUGCAGUUGCACCACACAAUGUGGUAUUUUUUUUUUAAUCUUUGAUAGAACCAGGCAGUUAUUCCUAUUGGAUUUGAAUAUUAUAUAGUUGAGUUUCAUGCUUAACCAGUCUAUAUAAGUGAUAAGUUCCGUGUGGAUCCAUUACUCUGAUGAUCUGUACUGUACCGGUAGGACAGCUAAGAUGAAUUCAUUUGCUGUUUAUCCUGGGUC
Molecule: RNA transcript, 2313 nt
Organism: Sorghum bicolor (sorghum)
Lineage: Eukaryota; Viridiplantae; Streptophyta; Magnoliopsida; Poales; Poaceae
Gene name: splicing factor U2af large subunit A
Exons: 10
Source: RefSeq, a predicted model, not a curated record